Molecule: ribosomal RNA, 503 nt
Filed under: uncultured bacterium
Lineage: Bacteria
Description: partial 16S ribosomal RNA
Rfam family: Bacterial small subunit ribosomal RNA
Source: RNAcentral
AUUGAACGCUGGCGGCAGGCUUAACACAUGCAAGUCGAGCGGAGUGAUGGUGCUUGCACUAUCACUUAGCGGCGGACGGGUGAGUAAUGCUUAGGAAUCUGCCUAUUAGUGGGGGACAACAUCUCGAAAGGGAUGCUAAUACCGCAUACGUCCUACGGGAGAAAGCAGGGGAUCACUUGUGACCUUGCGCUAAUAGAUGAGCCUAAGUCGGAUUAGCUAGUUGGUGGGGUAAAGGCCUACCAAGGCGACGAUAGGUAGCGGGUCUGAGAGGAUGAUCCGCCACACUGGGACUGAGACACGGCCCAGACUCCUACGGGAGGCAGCAGUGGGGAAUAUUGGACAAUGGGGGGAACCCUGAUCCAGCCAUGCCGCGUGUGUGAAGAAGGCCUUAUGGUUGUAAAGCACUUUAAGCGAGGAGGAGGCUCUUUUGGUUAAUACCCAAGAUGAGUGGACGUUACUCGCAGAAUAAGCACCGGCUAACUCUGUGCCAGCCGCCGCCGUAA